AGAAUCAACGCUGGCGGCGUGCCUAACACAUGCAAGUCGCACGAGAAAGUGGAGCAAUCCAUGAGUACAGUGGCGCACGGGUGAGUAACACGUGAAUCAUCUACCUCCGAGUGGGGAAUAACCUAGAGAAAUCUGGGCUAAUACCGCAUAACACUUACGAGUCAAAGCAGCAAUGCGCUUGGAGAGGAGUUCGCGGCCGAUUAGCUAGUUGGCGGGUAAUGGCCCACCAAGGCGAUGAUCGGUA
Molecule: ribosomal RNA, 244 nt
Filed under: uncultured bacterium
Lineage: Bacteria
Description: partial small subunit ribosomal RNA
Rfam family: Bacterial small subunit ribosomal RNA
Source: RNAcentral